GAGGGUAUAGCUCAGUGGUAGAAUGUGUGCCCAGCAUGCACAAGGUCAUGGUUUGAUCCCUGGUACCUCCA
This 71-nucleotide transfer RNA is filed under the name Camelus bactrianus (Bactrian camel). It matches the Rfam family "tRNA". Rfam says of the family: Transfer RNA (tRNA) molecules are approximately 80 nucleotides in length. Their secondary structure includes four short double-helical elements and three loops (D, anti-codon, and T loops). The record is from Rfam by way of RNAcentral. RNAcentral also lists the same sequence under 2 other names. Lineage: Eukaryota; Metazoa; Chordata; Mammalia; Artiodactyla; Camelidae.